Thermochaetoides thermophila DSM 1495 is the source of this 76-nucleotide non-coding RNA. Lineage: Eukaryota; Fungi; Ascomycota; Sordariomycetes; Sordariales; Chaetomiaceae. The record is from the annotation of a RefSeq genome assembly.
GCGCGGUUAGUUCAGUGGUUAGAAUUUUCGCUUCCCAUCCCAGCGAAGGACCCGAGUUCGAAUCUCGGAUCGCGCA